This is a non-coding RNA of Pelobates cultripes (western spadefoot toad), 982 nucleotides long. Lineage: Eukaryota; Metazoa; Chordata; Amphibia; Anura; Pelobatidae. The record is from the annotation of a GenBank genome assembly.
AAAACAAGCAACUUUUAAAAAGGGAAAAAGAAAAGAAACAGGAGAAUAAGACAGAAAAGCGGUUAUCCUUUUUUACUCCGCCUCAUUUACAGAGACAAGAAACAGAUCAUCAGAAAUGGAUAUUUUGAUACCUGCUGUCAAAGAAGCAGAAAUAAUGAUGCCAAAGAUUACAUCUACUAAACAGCUUCCUAAGGAGAUCAUUCAGGACGAUUUACGUGAAUACCUAGAUGCAUGCUUUGAAACCCUAUGAGAUAAAAUUCAAACAGGUCUCUCAGAGUUCAGAACGGAACCCCUAUUAUUGGAGAAAAAGAUGAAUGAAGAAAAAACAGUCCUUGGUAUACCAACAAGCCCAAUUAGAAGACUCACAGGAAAGUCUAAAAAAUAAAAUGGCAGAUUUAGAAUUUAAACUAGCCGAUCUACAAGAUAGAUUGCGACGCAAUAAUUUAAGAUUUAGGGUAAUCCCAGAAACAAAAGCAAAUUAUAAACUAAAUGAAUUAAUUCUAGAUUUAUUCCUUCAAUUGGGCAUUCAACUAACAAAUCCCCUAAACAUUUUGGAACGUAGUCAUAGAGUAAUGAAACCAUCUAUCGUACCUGAAAGUAUACCAAGAGAUGUUCUCAUCUGUUGCACAUCAUAUAAAGUGAAAGAACAAGUCUUGAAAGCAGCAAGAGUGAUUUAGACUCAAUGAACCAUACAAUAAAAUCUCUAUUUUUCUUGGACUGUCUUAUUAUACCAGGAUAAAAAGAAGGCCAUUUGCAACUUGCAUGAAAAUCUUACGCCAAAGGAACAUUCGUUAUGCCUGGAGAUACCCAUGUACAAUCAUUAUCUCUUAUGAGGCGAAGACAUACGCUUUCUCGGAUACACUAGCCUUAUCUAAGUGGUUCAAGGAACUGAACUUUGAUUUGAGUUAAGAGGCACCUAAAACUGAAAAGAGAAAGAUAUAAAGACCGGAGGCUAAGGACUUUUUUUUUUUUGUUUGGUUUU